Long non-coding RNA from Daktulosphaira vitifoliae (grape phylloxera), 1046 nucleotides. RefSeq lists it as uncharacterized. The transcript is spliced from 3 exons. NCBI's taxonomy places the organism in Eukaryota, Metazoa, Arthropoda, Insecta, Hemiptera, Phylloxeridae. The record is from RefSeq and is a predicted model, not a curated record.
AUCAGCACAGUAAUACAACUAAGAAAGUUUCUGUUGAAAAUUAAUAAAUAACUGAUUAGUAUUAAACAAUUUAAUAAUACUUUUGUAACUAAAAAACUGUUUUACAAUAUUGUAAAUAAUUUUGGUAAAAGAAAUUAAAGUAACUGAAAGUAAAAUAAUAAAGUAAUAAACAUCUCCCGGCGUAGCAAUAUUGCGAUUGACCAGCUGGCCGUGCGAAUAUUGUACUUUGUGAGUAGGUAAUAUAAAAUUCAAGGUCGUACUAAGCGUGUAGAGAUGAUUUAUUAUAAAAAAAACAACAGUACCAACAAUAACACCAAAAGAAAUUAUACCGUAUAGUAAUAAUAUUAAUAUACACACUUUGUACCCACACACCACCUCCGUACCGUUUUCACUUUGCAGUAUUACGCGCUUUGAGUCCAGCUGUAAUUGUGACAAACAAGUGAUAAAUUAUUCACAAUAUUUAAAAAAAAAAACACUAAAUCAUUCGCAAUGACUUGGUACACGCGAACGCAGUCACAAAUAGUGCUAACUUUUUAUUCUAUUAAAUAAGUUAUUCGGCCUACAAUAUUAUCAUACUUGCUUUUAACAAAAUGUCCAUGUAUUUUGUAUUAUUUUACUACAGAAAACACUUUAACACGUAAAAGGCAUUAGUGAAAAACGCUGCAUUACAUUUAAUGUUUUCACAUAACGCGCAACAGGAAAUAAAGCAAUGACAAAAUACGGUGCAUAAGUUUACCAGGGUUCUUUCUAAAAAAAAAAAAAAAAAGAACUGGUUCUGAGCAAAAUGUGACUAUUAAUCAAUCAAAAAUAGAGUUCAAAAUUCCAUGCCAAAAAAAUUAAAACAGAAAAAAGAGUUGAGCGGACAAAGACUUGGCGAAAAUUCAGUUCAAUUUCAAACACUCUGUACAAAAAAACAAAAUGCUAUUGUUUUGUAUAUUUUUAAAUAAAUCGUAAAAAUAAGUUUUAAUUGAUUCUCUCAAGUCUCUUUAAAUGACUAUGUAGUCAUUUACAUUUAAAAAAAUUAAUAAUUUUUUAAAAUGUUUUAA